GUCCGUGACCCCUGGAUGCCGAAGGCGUCCUUGGGGUGAUCUCGUAGUUCCUACAGGGUGGAGAUGAUGGGGUCGGUCCAUGGAUUUUCCUUCCUUUUAUUUUGCCGCAUUUCGCUCAAAGGGUUGAAGGGAGAUAGUGUAUCAAGCUGUUCGCAAGGGCCAACUUGACCUCUUCCCCAGAGAUCUCAGAUGAGGGAACCCUGGGAGAGCCGCCGACUCCAACUACCGUCCAUGUACGAUCCAUACUAU
RNAcentral lists this long non-coding RNA (249 nucleotides) under Nicotiana benthamiana. RNAcentral's name for it is "long non-coding RNA (NBEN_LNC004126)". Lineage: Eukaryota; Viridiplantae; Streptophyta; Magnoliopsida; Solanales; Solanaceae. The record is from RNAcentral.